UUAAAAUUAUAAUUAUCAUAAAUUAAUAACUAGGUUAAAAUUAUUAAUAACUUUGUUCCUGUUAGGUUUCACUUUCUUUUAUUCCUUAUCAGAGAACCUAAAAGAGUAACGUGCCUUUCAGCUGACAGACAGCCUUGAAGAGUAACUGAGCAACCUGAAGACCAUUUAGAGUCUAUAAAUAUUCAGCAGUGCGGGCCAUCAAUCUUCAAGGAUGAUUGAGGAACAAGGGCGAAGUAUUUAUUUUUGAAGUAUGUAAAAAGAUGCUACCUGAAGCUGCAUACUGACUGCACAAGUUUCUUCGUGGCUCCACUUGAGACUCAGGGCUGUUCUUGGAACAGAAAAUCAAGCGGCUAACAUAUUAGACUUUGCCCUGGUUCAGCAAUGACACUCAUGUGAUUCUGACAAAUGACUUGG
Molecule: long non-coding RNA, 414 nt
Filed under: Mus spicilegus (steppe mouse)
Lineage: Eukaryota; Metazoa; Chordata; Mammalia; Rodentia; Muridae
Description: lncRNA (ENSMSIG00000015898.1)
Source: RNAcentral